GUGAACGCUGGCGGUAGGCCUAACCCAUGCCCGUCGAACGGCAGCACCGUAAGAGCUUGCUCUUACGGGUGGCGAGUGGCGGACGGGUGAGGAAUACAUCGGAAUCUACUUUUUCGUGGGGGAUAACGUAGGGAAACUUACGCUAAUACCGCAUACGACCUACGGGUGAAAGCAGGGGAUCUUCGGACCUUGCGCGAUUGAAUGAGCCGAUGUCGGAUUAGCUAGUUGGCGGGGUAAAGGCCCACCAAGGCGUCGAUCCGUAGCUGGUCUGAGAGGAUGAUCAGCCACACUGGAACUGAGACACGGUCCAGACUCCUACGGGAGGCAGCAGUGGGGAAUAUUGGACAAUGGGCGCAAGCCUGAUCCAGCCAUACCGCGUGGGUGAAGAAGGCCUUCGGGUUGUAAAGCCCUUUUGUUGGGAAAGAAAAGCAGCAGGUUAAUACCCCGCUGUUCUGACGGUACCCAAAGAAUAAGCACCGGCUAACUUCGUG
RNAcentral lists this ribosomal RNA (491 nucleotides) under uncultured bacterium. RNAcentral's name for it is "partial 16S ribosomal RNA". It matches the Rfam family "Bacterial small subunit ribosomal RNA", at positions 29 to 507 of the family's 1533-position model. The record is from RNAcentral.